RNAcentral lists this ribosomal RNA (2930 nucleotides) under Aspergillus bertholletiae. RNAcentral's name for it is "large subunit ribosomal RNA". It matches the Rfam family "Bacterial large subunit ribosomal RNA". Lineage: Eukaryota; Fungi; Ascomycota; Eurotiomycetes; Eurotiales; Aspergillaceae. The record is from RNAcentral.
AACGAAGUGAAUUGAAAUAUCUUAGUAACUUUAGGAAAAGAAAUCAAACGAGAUUGUUAUUUGGUGCAAACUAAAUAACAAGAGCCUAAUAACAAAACUUGUUAAAGUAAAAUGGAUUAAAAUCUGUUUGAAUAUAGGGGAACCUUCCUCUAAGGCUAAAUAUGAUAUAUAAGCGAUAGUGAAAAGUACCGUGAGGUAAAAUUUGAAAUAGUAGUUUUAUAAGCAGCUCGAGUGAAAAUUUAAAUAAGUAAUAAGAGUGUACCUUUUGCAUAAUGGGUCAGCAAGUUAAUUUUAGAUGCAAGCAAUGAUUUCGUGCGCUUUGCGCAUGAAACUAGCUUAGAUAAACCAAUUAUGAGAAAAUGAUUAAGUAUCUAGAAUUAGACCCGAAGGCUAGUGAUCUUACCAUGGUCAGGGUUAUAAAAGCCCGAACGGGUUAUCGUUGUAUAGAUAUCCGAAGAACUGUGGUAAGUUAGUGAAAGACAAAACUGACUAGUAUAGCUGGUUUUCCGCGAAACCUAUAUGAGUAGGUAAUUUAACUAACAUCUUAGCAGGUACAGAACUGUGAUCUCGGACAAUAUCUUUUGAUUUUGUCAACAUCGGGGGGUUGUAGUGACUUUACCGGAGAGUAUUUGCACUCGGAAUGGCAAAGAUGAAUGUUGAAUAAUCGGACAUAGUGCGAUAAGGUUGUAUGUCUAAAGGGAAACAGCCCAGAACAAGAGUUAAGGUUCCAAAAUUAUUGUUGAGUGAAAUUAAGGAUGUUUUUUUUAAAAACAAUCAGGAAAUAGGCUUAGAAGCGGCCAUUUUUUGAAGACCUCGUAACAGAGCACUGAUUAAUUUAUUUCUUUAGAAAAAAACACCGAAAAUUUAACGGAUCUAAACAAUAUACCGAAACCUUGUACACAUAUUUAUAAUAUUAAUAUUGUAUAUGUGGGGUAGCGGAACAUUGGAUAAAUAUUAAUUAUUAUUUCUUCUAAGAAAUAAUAAGUAUGGAUUAUUAUUAAAAAUAUUUAUUUAUUAAAGAUAUUUAUCUAAUAUUAUUAUACCUAAAAGGUAUAAUGUUUAGAUGUAUAUAUAGAUAGAUUAUAUCUGUCUUUAUUAUUAAUAUAAUCCAUCGAUAUAAUCCAAGAGAGAAUGCUGACAUGAGUAACGAAAAAGGAAUAUCCUCGCCUUAAGCUUAUGGUAUUAUAUUUAAUUUUCGGUAUCUAAAAGUAUUAAUCAAAAGGUAAUUUUGAUGAUAUUUAUAUAUAAAUACUUAAAAAUAAAAAAACAAAACCUUUAACAAGUAAUAAAGGUUCUGGAAAAUUUUUUUAUUUUAUGUAAGAUAUAAUAUACCCAAAUAAGGGUGUAUUUUUCAAUAUAGGUAUGUUAUAAGAUAUACAAUUUCUUGUUACAAGUUUUCAAGAUUGUAUAGAUUUUAUCGAUAUUGAAUGUAUUUUAUUUAUUUAUACUAUUGUAUAAGUAAGAUUUAUAUAUACCGUACCUAGAUACUAUCACAAGUAAGCAAGUAGAGAAUACAAAGGCGUUUGAGUGAACAAUCAUUAAGGAACUCGGCAAAUUGACUACCGUAACUUCGGGAUAAGGAGGGCCAUUAUGAUUAGUUUAACAUAUCUUAGGAUAUGAUUUAAUUAAACUAAUAAUAAGAGGAAACAUGAAAUAAUGUUGUACGACUGUUUAAUAAAAACACAGCACUCUGCAAAGAUAAAAUAUCAAAGUAUUGAGUGUGAUGUCUGCCCAAUGUCGGCUGGGUAACGGAUUUACCUUGGUUUUUAACUGAGGUUUUGAAGGAUACCCCGAUUAAUGGCGGCCUUACCUAUGAGGGUCCUAAGGUAGCGAAAUACCUUGGCCGUUAAAUGCGGUCCUGCAUGAAUGACUUAACGAUACAACAGCUGUCUCGAUGAUUGUCUCAGUGAAAUUGGAAUAGCAGUGCAGAUACUGUUUACCUCUAGAUAGACGAGAAGACCCUAUGCAGCUUUACUGUUACUAAUUGCAAGAGUGAAAAUUUAGGAUGAUUUCGAGAGUAUAAGGUAGUUGUUUGAUAACAAUGAAACACCUUUAUUCGUUUCCUACUAUAUGCUCUUGAGGAUUGGGAGGCAGUUUAUGCGGGGCACAGAUCCCACAAAAAGUACCUGGGUAUAUCCAAAGUUCAUUUUGUAAAUUUGUAAAUUUCUUUACAAAUAUUUUAAUUUGUUAUAAUUAUAUUCAUAAUUAUACAGUUAUUGUUAGAUUAAGUUCAAUAUUUAUUUUUUAUUUAAGUAAGAUUUUAACUAUAUGGUGAAUAGAUGUAUUUUAAACUUUACCCGGAGUGAUUCAACUCCGGGAUAUUUAAAAGUUUUUUCUCAUAUUAAUAUUGUAUUUUAUCUUUAUUGAUAUGAUAAUUAAUUAUACUUUAAAAGUUUAAUGGCUAAAUCUUGCUUUACUGUUUGACCUACAAGUCUAUCAGUCGCGUAAGCGGGGCAUAUGAUCACAAGAUGCAUAAAGGAAAGGUCUUGGAUUAUAGAAAAAGUUACGCUAGGGAUAACAGGCUAAUUUGCGCAAGAGAGUACAAAUUGAGUGCGCGGUUUGGCACCUCGAUGUCGGCUUAGCUCAUCCACAUGAAUGCAAAAAUCAUGAAGGGUUCGACUGUUCGUCGAUUAAAGAGCUACAUGAGCUGGGUUUAAUACGUCGUGAGACAGUAUGGUUUCUAUCUUCUAGAGGGAAUUAAAGUAGAAUAAAGAUAGCCCCUUCGUACGAAAGGAGUUGGGUAUAUUGACCUAUGGUUUACCUGUUGUUUAUGUUAUAUAUUAUUAUACAUAAUAUAUCAUUUACUUAUACUUAAGUAAAUUGUUCACAUAGGCAUGGCAGGAAGGCUACGUCAGUUAAAGAUAAGUGCUGAAAGCAUUUAAGCGCGAAGCUUACUUUAGGAUACUUUUAAACGUAGUAGAACACUACGA